AAAGGAAAAUAUUAUAAGAAAUGAAGAAAGAUCAAAAAUGAGGAAGAGGGCUCCAUUUCACCUAUUAAAUUUCUUCUCUUUCCUUUAGGACAAUGGCGUCGGAUUUCAAAUUUUAUGUAAAGGCCUUAAUUCUAUAUUGAUGUGACUUCUAGCUUCCAUGAAACUUAAAUACAGACCUUAUGAUGUUUGACAUUGGAUAAGAAAAUUCUCCACCUGGAUAAGCUGUUUCUGGAAAGCACUGGUGCAGCCUCUGUCAGAAGUCUUGCUCUGAUGGUCCACUGUACAGAUAAGGAGGCCACAAUGUGGAGAGAUUGAGUAAUAACCAGUAUUACCAGGAUCUUAAGUGGUAAAGCUAGCACUGACCAGGUGAGUAAAAUAAAGUGAAACAAAUAUGUUUUUCAUUGUAUCAG
RNAcentral lists this long non-coding RNA (410 nucleotides) under Canis lupus familiaris (dog). RNAcentral's name for it is "lncRNA (ENSCAFG00000037664.3, ENSCAFG00805012191.1)". Lineage: Eukaryota; Metazoa; Chordata; Mammalia; Carnivora; Canidae. The record is from RNAcentral.